This 315-nucleotide long non-coding RNA is filed under the name Capsicum annuum. RNAcentral's name for it is "long non-coding RNA (CANN_LNC008856)". Lineage: Eukaryota; Viridiplantae; Streptophyta; Magnoliopsida; Solanales; Solanaceae. The record is from RNAcentral.
GUGCCAUAUCUGGUGGCAGAUUUUGAGCCACAGAUUCCCCAAGUGGCCUUGAGGAUGGAUUUAUAAUCUGAGGUAUAUUUAGAUUUUUUCCCCUUUCCUCUACUCCUAUGAGUAGACCAUUUAAUUUUAAGGGCAACUUCACGAUUAGCCAACAACAUUUUGAUGAUGCAACUGGUAUGAUAAAAAAUGACAAUAAUGCAAGUGAGUCACACGAAUGUUUCAAACUUGUCGAGCUGGAGAAAUUAUGAGUGAUUUUAUAUGUCAGUAAGAAUUGACUUGUUUCUUUUAGUAAAAAUGCUUUUGCUUUAAUUCUCA